This 1500-nucleotide ribosomal RNA is filed under the name Klebsiella sp. L331. Its description in RNAcentral is "bacterial SSU rRNA". It matches the Rfam family "Bacterial small subunit ribosomal RNA". The record is from RNAcentral. Lineage: Bacteria; Pseudomonadati; Pseudomonadota; Gammaproteobacteria; Enterobacterales; Enterobacteriaceae.
AGAGUUUGAUCCUGGCUCAGAUUGAACUAUGGCGCAGGCUACACAUGCAGUCGAGCGGUAGCACAGAGAGCUUGCUCUCGGGUGACGAGCGGCGGACGGGUGAGUAAUGUCUGGGAAACUGCCUGAUGGAGGGGGAUAACUACUGGAAACGGUAGCUAAUACCGCAUAACGUCGCAAGACCAAAGUGGGGGACCUUCGGGCCUCAUGCCAUCAGAUGUGCCCAGAUGGGAUUAGCUGGUAGGUGGGGUAACGGCUCACCUAGGCGACGAUCCCUAGCUGGUCUGAGAGGAUGACCAGCCACACUGGAACUGAGACACGGUCCAGACUCCUACGGGAGGCAGCAGUGGGGAAUAUUGCACAAUGGGCGCAAGCCUGAUGCAGCCAUGCAGCAUGCGCGUGUGUGAAGAAGGCCUUCGGGUUGUAAAGCACUUUCAGCGGGGAGGAAGGCGGUGAGGUUAAUAACCUCAUCGAUUGACGUUACCCGCAGAAGAAGCACCGGCUAACUCCGUGCCAGCAGCCGCGGUAAUACGGAGGGUGCAAGCGUUAAUCGGAAUUACUGGGCGUAAAGCGCACGCAGGCGGUCUGUCAAGUCGGAUGUGAAAUCCCCGGGCUCAACCUGGGAACUGCAUUCGAAACUGGCAGGCUAGAGUCUUGUAGAGGGGGGUAGAAUUCCAGGUGUAGCGGUGAAAUGCGUAGAGAUCUGGAGGAAUACCGGUGGCGAAGGCGGCCCCCUGGACAAAGACUGACGCUCAGGUGCGAAAGCGUGGGGAGCAAACAGGAUUAGAUACCCUGGUAGUCCACGCUGUAAACGAUGUCGAUUUGGAGGUUGUGCCCUUGAGGCGUGGCUUCCGGAGCUAACGCGUUAAAUCGACCGCCUGGGGAGUACGGCCGCAAGGUUAAAACUCAAAUGAAUUGACGGGGGCCCGCACAAGCGGUGGAGCAUGUGGUUUAAUUCGAUGCAACGCGAAGAACCUUACCUGGUCUUGACAUCCACAGAACUUUCCAGAGAUGGAUUGGUGCCUUCGGGAACUGUGAGACAGGUGCUGCAUGGCUGUCGUCAGCUCGUGUUGUGAAAUGUUGGGUUAAGUCCCGCAACGAGCGCAACCCUUAUCCUUUGUUGCCAGCGGUUAGGCCGGGAACUCAAAGGAGACUGCCAGUGAUAAACUGGAGGAAGGUGGGGAUGACGUCAAGUCAUCAUGGCCCUUACGACCAGGGCUACACACGUGCUACAAUGGCAUAUACAAAGAGAAGCGACCUCGCGAGAGCAAGCGGACCUCAUAAAGUAUGUCGUAGUCCGGAUUGGAGUCUGCAACUCGACUCCAUGAAGUCGGAAUCGCUAGUAAUCGUAGAUCAGAAUGCUACGGUGAAUACGUUCCCGGGCCUUGUACACACCGCCCGUCACACCAUGGGAGUGGGUUGCAAAAGAAGUAGGUAGCUUAACCUUCGGGAGGGCGCUACCACUUUGAUCAUGCAUGACUGGGGUGAAGUCGUAACAAGGUA